AUUGAACGCUGGCGGAAUGCUUUACACAUGCAAGUCGAACGGCAGCACGGACUUCGGUCUGGUGGCAAGUGGCGAACGGGUGAGUAAUGUAUCGGAACGUGCCCAGUCGUGGGGGAUAACGUAGCGAAAGUUACGCUAAUACCGCAUACGAUCUACGGAUGAAAGCGGGGGACCGUAAGGCCUCGCGCGAUUGGAGCGGCCGAUGUCAGAUUAGGUAGUUGGUGAGGUAAAGGCUCACCAAGCCGAAGAUCUGUAGCUGGUCUGAGAGGACGACCAGCCAGACUGGGACUGAGACACGGCCCAGACUCCUACGGGAGGCAGCAGUGGGGAAUUUUGGACAAUGGGCGCAAGCCUGAUCCAGCCAUUCCGCGUGCAGGACGAAGGCCUUCGGGUUGUAAACUGCUUUUGUACGGAACGAAAAGGCUCUGGUUAAUACCUGGGGCUCAUGACGGUACCGUAAGAAUAAGCACCGGCUAACUACGUGCCAGCCGCCGCAGUAA
RNAcentral lists this ribosomal RNA (500 nucleotides) under uncultured bacterium. RNAcentral's name for it is "partial 16S ribosomal RNA". It matches the Rfam family "Bacterial small subunit ribosomal RNA", at positions 30 to 523 of the family's 1533-position model. The record is from RNAcentral.